Molecule: RNA transcript, 4684 nt
Organism: Armigeres subalbatus
Lineage: Eukaryota; Metazoa; Arthropoda; Insecta; Diptera; Culicidae
Gene: eRF1
Gene name: eukaryotic peptide chain release factor subunit 1
Exons: 9
Source: RefSeq, a predicted model, not a curated record
GCAGCCGUCAUUCCUUUUCACAUUUUGGCACAUGCCGAUCCAGUUCUCGAACCGUGUGUGUCCGCGCCCGUGAAGCCUGAUGUAUUGGCUAAAAUCGUUCAAAAAUCGCAGAAAAGUGUGCUAAAGUGUUCGCCGUUUACGCCAGGUCGUGCGCCGAGUGUCGGUGCGUGCAAAAAAAGAGGUCAGCAGUCGUGCGAAAAAAGGGAUUCAAUCCGUGAAAAGCCCGUAACCAGUAGGUUCAUAGGGGAGGAAGUAGUGAGCGUUUUGCCAACAGCACAGGAGCCAACCGAAGCAGCAAGAUGUCGUUCGAGGAAACAUCCGCCGAUCGAAAUGUCGAGAUCUGGAAGAUCAAGAAACUCAUCAAGAGUUUAGAAAUGGCUCGAGGCAAUGGCACGAGCAUGAUCUCGCUGAUCAUCCCCCCGAAGGAUCAGAUCAGCCGGGUGAGCAAGAUGUUGGCGGACGAGUUCGGUACCGCUUCCAACAUCAAGUCCCGCGUCAACCGACUCUCCGUACUGGGCGCCAUUACCUCGGUCCAGCACCGGCUCAAACUAUACACCAAAGUGCCUCCGAAUGGACUCGUGAUCUACUGCGGUACGAUCGUCACCGAAGAGGGCAAGGAAAAGAAGGUCAACAUUGACUUUGAACCGUUCAAACCGAUCAAUACCUCUCUAUACUUAUGCGAUAAUAAGUUUCACACCGAAGCACUGACGGCGCUGCUGGCGGACGACAAUAAGUUUGGUUUCAUUGUGAUGGACGGUAACGGUGCACUGUUCGGUACGCUUCAGGGUAACACACGGGAAGUGCUGCACAAAUUCACCGUCGAUCUGCCGAAGAAGCACGGCCGUGGUGGUCAGUCCGCGUUGCGUUUUGCCCGUCUUCGUAUGGAAAAGCGUCACAAUUACGUGCGGAAAGUAGCAGAGGUGGCCACCCAGCUGUUCAUCACCAACGAUAAGCCAAACAUUGCCGGGCUGAUCCUGGCCGGUAGUGCCGACUUCAAAACGGAACUCAGCCAGUCAGAUAUGUUCGAUCCGCGAUUGCAAUCGAAAAUCAUCAAAUUGGUGGAUGUUUCGUACGGCGGCGAGAACGGUUUUAAUCAAGCUAUCGAACUGGCAGCCGAGUCGCUACAGAACGUCAAAUUUAUCCAGGAGAAGAAAUUGAUUGGUCGAUACUUUGAUGAAAUUUCACAGGAUACCGGCAAAUACUGCUUCGGUGUUGAGGACACCCUGAAGGCGCUGGAGCUGGGCUCAGUGGAAACACUGAUCUGCUGGGAGAACUUGGACAUUCAACGUUACGUGCUGAAGAAUCACAUCACGGCGACGUCCACCACAGUAUUGCAUCUGACUCCGGAGCAGGAGAAGGACAAGUCUCACUUCACCGAUAAGGAGAGUGGCGUGGAGAUGGAAUUAGUAGAAUCUCAGCCACUGUUGGAAUGGCUUGCAAACAAUUACAAGAGUUUCGGUGCUACUUUGGAAAUUAUUACUGACAAGUCCCAGGAAGGAAGUCAGUUUGUGCGAGGUUUUGGUGGAAUAGGAGGAAUCUUACGCUACAAGGUGGACUUCCAGUCAUUGCAAGCCGAUGAGCCACUGGACGACGUUGACCUUGACGAUUACUAAAUCAAUUACUUCUAAAAGAAAAACAACCAGUAUCCAUUGGACUGCGCGUACUCUGUGACGAAACUGUAGCGGAACAGCCACGGACACACAGACACGUAUUAGAAAUUACAAACAAACACACACACACAGUACAGACAUUUCUCGACUCUCUUUGAAAUUCAUAAAAAUCAAAGAAACGCGUUCAAGCCGAGUUUUUUUUUCGCGUAUAAAGGAUUAGAUUGUGAAACAAAAGAUUAACAAAUUGUAAACAGCGAAAUAGAAAUCCAAAAAUUUGAACCGAAUCUCAACUCCGGAGAUAAAAUACGAAAUUUAAACAAAAUACACUGACAAACAUAUAAACAGUAAAAUAGUUAAUAUAAUCUGAAGAAAAAAACAAACAAACAAAAACCAAAAAAAUAUAUAAUCGGUGAACUGGUAAACGGAAGUGUGAAAUUGAUGUCGUCGGUCACACACACCGAAAUACAGUUCCGAGCCCGAGCGUGAGCGUGUAAUUUAGUAGAUUAAAACAGAAACGAAAUUAGAAACCAUAUUUAUAUAAAUAUUGAUGAGCAUCCUUUGAAGAAGGGAUAACGAUGGAACUUUGGAACAUCCAAACUAUCGCGGAUGGACACAUUUGAACAGAAUUUGGUUAAAGUCGGAAAAACUAAAUUGAAUCUGUAUAUGUAGUUCAACCUUUGUAAAGAUCUGAUUUGGCCUGCUUACUUGCAUAUUUCAUUGCAUUCUAAUUCAAUAAUUUUUAGUAGCUCUCUCAAUGUCCUCAUUUCGGUUCAUAACAUUCUCUUGUGUACAAAAAUUUAAGAGAUGUUAUCAGUACUUAAUGAUGUCUACAAGAAAUGAUCAACGUUGGAGUCAAUGUAAUUUAUACUAACAUAUACGAAAGCACUUCUCGCUUUAUGACCUUUAACAUUGACUGUCCAUAUAAUAUACAAUUCAAUUUAGAUCAAGAAAUGAUAUUCGUACCGACGUCAAAAAAUAUGAGAACCUCUGGUUUUGUUCUACCUCAUCUCAUGCGCUUGAAUUUAUUCUGAGAUAGACCAAAAUACGAUAGGUCUCAUACGAUAAUCCCAAUCCCUUUAUUUUCGAAGGAUGCUCAAUUUUUAUGAUGAUAUAUCAUUGAGUGAAACACAUAAAUCACUUAAAGAAAAAACUUGUAUAAUAACAAUUAAUUCCCUUAUAAACAUAGAAGAAAUCGAAUAAACCACGAUACCGAACUCGAAUGCAGGAUUGAUUGAAAUUAUCGCGACUUACGCCUAGGAACAUUAGUGAAGUGAAAAGAAGAAUCACUGAACAAUAAAACAGAAAGCUGAAUGCUGCUCUAGAAUUUGUUUCGGUAUAAUUUACUUUACCGCUGAAAAUUUCGGUUUCAUCUUCUGGAAUAUAAAAAGCAACCCGCGGAUUGUUCAGAUUUCCAAUUAAAGCCCAACAAUUUGGAUGUGUUCCUCGUUACAAUCAAUAUAAUAUUUAGAAACAGCUCGACGACAAGAACAAGAAAGUUCUUAUAGUGCUGCACUGCUCCAUAGCCGGAAAAUAGCAUCACCUACUAAAGAAAAACAAAACGGAGUAGUAAACAACACAUGCUUAACUUAAGUUUCGUAGAAAGUUUUAUUUAGUAGAUCUAUGUUUCAUAUGGAGUGAAAAACAUGUCAACGGACAAAUACACACAGGUCGACAAUGUAGCAAACAACAACAACACCAACACACGAGGAUAACAGGACACUCUUCAACUGAAGCUCACACCGUUAUGCGUACUUAUUGAUCAUUUGGGCACAUUUGCACGCACAUAGUCGCCGAUGGGUUGAUUAAGUAAAGGUAUUUUGCGCUACAAGGUAGAUUUCCAAAGCAUGCAACUAGAUGAAUUGGACAACGAUGGUUUCGAUAUAGAUGAUUAUUAAAUUUUUUAUGUUAAUGAAGAUAUCAGUUAUACACAAACAGGUUAGAAAAUAUACAAAGGAUAAUACGAGACACUACAGUGGAAACACAAAAAAAAACCAUUCGCCUGUUUUUCAUUUGUUUGCAUGGCAGGAGGAAAAUCACUUGCGAGACCCAGGCAAAAAAAAGAAACUAACAAUAAGGGUAGUCCUAGUAAUUUUCCUCAUCCGUUUACUGUAUUGAAAGGUUUCUAGCAAUUCGUUUAUACCCGCUACGCGGGAUUCUGCUCAAAUAAUCCUAUUAAAUCGACUUCCGCCACGUCCAAUAACACUAAUCGGUCCUGAGUGCGUCCGCAAAUUACUUAUAACUUCCGGCGGGCAAUAGAGACUAAAAUCAAUCGUGCAGCAACGUCUUUUGUUUUUGUUUCGAGCAUUUAAGAGACAACGAGGGAAGCUUAGUCCAUUCUGAGAAUUCUACAUUCGUCAGAGAAAAGUACUGUGAAUCAGUGUGAUCGUCGUUCGUAUUACGUGUAGGCGCCGCUGGUGAAUGGUGCAACUAGGAAGAUCCGCAUGUUUUGAAAACAAUAGAUUGUUUUGUUCUCUGCCACUCACUCGUGUAAUCCUACACGUAUAAUUUAUAGCUCCGUUUUUUUAAAUUGAAAAUCCUUGGGAGGUAGUUUUGUAGAAUGCAACAAACUAGAUUUUGCCACAGAAUUCGCGUGGAACGCCACACGUGCACUGAAACAACCGAGAUUGUUCAAGUUUAACACUCCUAGUAUACAAUAGACUUUCGUUUGGCGGUCUAACGUCGUUCUGAUUGUUCUUAUUCCUAUUUACUACUUUACUACACCACUAAUUCGGAUAAAGAAACAUACGAGUAACAAAGCCACACACUUUACCAGAGUGCAAGUGAACGCAAAGCUCUUAGAAACAACAGAGAAAGGAGAAAAGCAAGCAAGUAAACUUAAACUCGAAAAAAUCAACAGAAACACACGUACACUUUGCAUUAGUUAAAGAAGGAAGAAGACAAACCCUAUUUCGACUACAGCUACAAAAGUUUUAAAUCCAUCUGAUUAAAAUCCAGAGAAAACCAGAAAAUUGUUAUUAUAUUAUAAAACAAAUAUUAUAAAAUGAUAUAUUACAUAAAAAGAAGAUAUUUAUAUAAAAAGGAAAUGAAAAAAAAACGGAAGCAAACUACUUGGA